GGCUUUUUUUUUUUUUUUUCAGCACUGGGGGGGAAAAAAGUUAAAUGAAAUGAGAGGCGCAUGUAAAAAUCUCCACACCCAAAGAUGGGGGCCACAUUUUUAUUGCUUGGCCUUGGACAGGCAACGAUGUCUUUUUUUAAGCAGUGAACUUGCCACACCGGCGCUAGCUCUCACACACUAGCACAUUUGCUUGCACAAACCACACAAACUUUAAGCUUAAGAAGCUUCCCAGGUGGUGGUUGGAGAAAUUUGGGAAGGAGAGAAAAAAAGUAUUCGAAACAAAGUAGAGGUAGAAACACACGAUUAAUAGAAACUAGUUUUAUUUUCUUAUUUUUUCUUUUUCUGUCUUUUUUUUUUUCCCGUUGCUUUCUUUAAACAGCAGCUAGCUUGAUUUUGAUAGCUGGUUUUGGCAAAAGGAAAGAAAAAAAAAUCUACAGCCCGAAAGGAAGACUCAAAGUGUUUAAAGGACGCUUAGAAUGUAGCGUUGUGGCAGGUUGGGAGCUGACGUCACUGAGAUCAGGCAGAUGGAGGGGAGUCCCCGUGCGGAGAUCCUGAGAGGGCAAGAGACGACAGGAGUCUAGCAUAACUGUCAUCUAAGAGGCUCUACCCAGCGACUGAUACAAACAGAUGCAGAGACACACAGCCAAACAUUAAGUGGAGCUUGUGGAAUUCUGUGGAAGAGGGGGAAGAAGGAUUGAAGGAGUCAGAGGGGUCAAGGACACCACAAGAAAACCUAUAAAAUCAACUAACAUGGACCCAUAGGGGUCCACACAGACCAAACUGCCAAAAAAAAAAAAAAAAAAGCAUGCAUAGAAUGGAUCUAGGCCCUCUGCAUAUAUGUAACAGAUGUGGGACUCCUAACAGUGGGCACCAUCUCUGACUCUGUUGCCUGCCUCUGGAUCCCUUUCCCCUACCUGGGCUGCCUUGUGUAGCCCGAUAGAAGAUGGGCCUAGUCCUGCAACUUGAUAUGCCAAGACUGAUUGAUAUCCAUGGGAGGUCUCCCUUUUUCUGAGGAGAAGGGGAGACAGUGUGGAUGGGGCGUGGGGGGGGGGGAGAAGGGAAGUUAAGAGGGAGGGACCAGGAGGAGAAAAGGUGGGGGAUAGCUAUGACAGGGUGUAAAAUAAUUAAAUAACUUAAUUAAUAAUAAAAAAGCUUGCUCAUUGAAUAUAUAUAUAUAUAUAUAUAUAUUGCUGACAUUUUAUUGUGAUUAAUUUGGAUUAUAUAGGAAGAGAAGCAAAAAAACUGAGUAAUAAGGGACUAUAAUAAAGGUUUAACCAGGAGUUUAAAAUUGAAAACAAAGCAAAACAAAAACAAAAAACAAAAACAAAAAAAACAAAACAAAACAAAACAGAAGCACAGCCCUAUUAGAAGUCCAUCACUGAAGACAGGCUUUGAGCAGUCAAAGUCUCAUUCACCUUCCAGUGUGCCUGAGGUUGAGGGUGUGUUUUCUCAGCUUCCUGUUCCUGCCAUCAUGUCUGCUAGUUGUCCUAAUGCCUUCCUGCCAUGCUGGACUCUUGUUCCCCUGGAACCCUAAACUGAAGCCAACUCUUCUAGAAGCUCCUUUUGAUUAUGGUGUUUCAUUGCAGCAACACAAGGAACUAAUACGACUAGGGUGUAGGAUCUCAGGAUUAUAUUACUACUGAUGUUCUUCCUUAACAUACUUUUAAAGUGCAUGCGGCAUCCAUCUAUGGUUAAUUAAAACAACAACAACAACAACAACGAAAACAUGUACACCAAGUUACAGUCAAUUUCCAAGAUGGGGAAGAUUAGGUUUGGCACUACACACUGCACUUGAUUUUAUUAAAAUAGUGAUGAGAUCAGGGUAUAUGUUCCAUCAGUAAAGGGCUUGCUGCACAAACAAGACCCAAGGUCAGAUCCCUAGCAAUUUUUCAUAUUUGGAUCAUGACUUCUGUCUUACAGUGAUUUUUAAAUACAACCCCAUAUAAAUCCUGUUCUGCUAUUUGAUACCACUUGUAUAACUACCUUUUGUGGAAAAAAAGAACUUUCCCCAUAGUCUUACAAAAUAUUGACUAGUAGAGAAUGGAAACAAACUUGCCAAAUGUCAUUUCAUUCUGUGACUCUUUCAGAAAUCAUUGCAUCAUUCCCAUUUAAAAAAAUAAAAAAAACCUCUGCUUAUAAAGAAGGCACAAAGAUUAUUAUUUCAAUCUUACAUAGGUUAGUGAUCCAUUUAAUAUUUAAAAAGCUAAUGUUUCAUAUUUUGAUAUGCUACAUAUUAGUUUGUGUCCAAGUGUCUGUAUUAGCAGCAGGAACUCUGAAGCUUCUUAUUUUAAUUAAGAAAAUAUUUUCAAUAUUGUUCUACAGUUUAUAUAAACAGUGAGAAAUAUUUUGCACUUUAAAAAUGUGGGUUAAAACAAAACUAGGUAAUGUUUCUUUUAUUUGAGCCAAGAAAAAUAGUACCACGAAUCCUUUUCUCAUAUUGCUGUGUGGAAAUAGUUUUCCACCUAAAACCCCUGGCUCUCUCUUUUUCUUAUAAAAUGUAUGCAUGCAAAGAUGCUAGUGUGAGAUACGUUUCCAGGCACAUUUAUUCUAAUGGUGAAGCUGGCUUAUUUUGUGACACAUUUUAUAUUUCCAUGACAAACCGAAUGCUUUUUGUCCACCAGUGAUGUAGAAUAAUUAAUCAGAGCCAUCCUGGGAGGAGGACCCAUCCCAUUCUGUGUUGGUUUGUAAAACAUCCCUGGGUGAGAGGCCUCUCAGCAGGCUCACUCACGUUACCUGUAAUUUUUCACAUGUGUAUAGUUCAUCACUAGUGACACUCUGGCUUUCAGAUCAGUCAUCUCUUAGAACUUAAAAUUGAUAUAUCAGUCUCAGCAUAAAAUGCUAUCAUUCCCGUGGACCAACUGUUUACCGGAGUAUAACUCCUCCUGUGUCUCAUUUCAUCACACUGUUCCACACAGUGAUGUUUCAAUGUGAAAUGAAGUUUUUUCAUGCUGUGCCCCUGAGUAGAAAAAAGACAGAAGUACAUGUAUGAUAAAUGGUGAAGAUUCCGUGAUAACCCUUGGAAAACAAUAUAGUGUAGAAGCAUUCUGUAUUAUAUUUGCUUUAAUAAUUUAAGGCAUAAAUGUGGCUUUUAAACUUUUAUAACAAAUACGAUUUAUGCAGCAGUGAGAAAUGAUCAAUUAUAUUUUCUGUGAAUCACUUCAUCUUCCAUCUUAUACAGAAAUUAACAGCACGCUACUGCUGUUGAAUUGCCAUGGUGGAAUAUUUGUGUAGGCUACGCUAUUAGUAAAAUGUAAAAUCACCAUCAUGUUGUUCAACUCUAUGUCUUUAAUUACAGUUUUGCAAGAGAAAGGAUUUACUUUAAAUUUUUAUUAAGUCUAUUCACUUUGUCUAUGUGGGGCUGGGGACCGAAUUCUGGCUUUUAAUAGCAACAACAGAAUUUAGGAAAAACAUCUUGUUGAAUUCCCUUAUGCCUGAAAGACACUGUCGUGUUUGCAUUCUUUCUUGGCACAAAGUGCAUUUUCUUUGUGGCUCUGAGUGUCGCCUGGCUGUGGCAUCGGCAUCCCACUGAUUAUUACGAGGGCUGAUUCAACGGCUUUGGCUCACUGGGCUGGGUUCUGUAGACUUCCUUCACAACCCUAAAAGCUGUGCAUUGGCAGAAGAUGAUGACAUCCCUGGGGAGACUAGAACCACUUAAUUUUUGUCAAAAUGGAAAUGAGUUUUUCCUUUUAGCACAUCUUGAUUUGAUCUGAUAGGUUAUUUUAAAAAUGGAAGGCAAGAUUGUUUCACCAAAAAUGGAUGCAAACAAUGUUUUAAAUUUGAUAUGGCAUUGCAAAUACUCAACGUUUUCCAGAGAGAACAUUUUUUAGUUUACAUUUGAAAUUCUUACCUUUUUAUUUUCACUAUUGUACUGUGUAUGCUUUAGAUUAUUUCACUGUGUGCUUUUGAGAUGAUGUCUAAGCACUAAGCCACAGCCACAAGAUAUAUGAUGAGUUGUUUAACUAAAGGUAGAGUGAUUACAAAGAAUUCUGAAGGUUGAAACAUACUUUAUAGUAUGAGUUUUGAAAAUAGAUUAACUAACAGGUGAUUAUUUCCAUCCUGUUGAAAGUAUAAGAAAUUCAGUAAUGACUAAAUGACUUGCUGGCGCCUCUUCAUUGUGCCUGUGCAUGUGUUGGAUAUGCACAAUCAUGUAAAAGAAAAUAGUUCAAAACUGUGAGCAUAACAGACAUUUUCAUUUGGAGACUAAAAUUCUGUUGUGUCUACAUUUGUUCAGCAGGUGAGAUAUUUUGGUAAUACUACUAUGGCAUACUGAAAUAUUGCUAGAAAACUAAAAGUAAUCUGCUUUUAUGCUUUGUAUUAGCUUAAGGAUCUAUUACCCAAAUAAAAUAAAUUUGGUGUUAUGUUUUCAUGUUUAAUUAGCCUUGGGAAGAAGGUAUGUUCAAUAAAAAUAUAUCAGGAAUUAUACUCAUCCCUUUGUGUACUUGUAUUAUUUUAGGAGAAAUUUCAACAGCAGCCUUAUUUUCAAAGCUCAGUUCAAGUUGACUUUUCAUUACUUGAAUAAUAGUGUUCUUAUGUGUAUAGUAAGAUGUGUAGUUUUCCUCAGUUUCACAAUCCUCCCUGCUACCAAUAGCCCACUUCAAGUGGGACAUUUAUUACAAAUGAUUAACCCAGUAUUUUGUAUUCUGUAACAGUAUUUUAUAUUCUGAAAUAUGGAUUUCAUUAUCUAGCUAUUGUUUUAGGAAGCUUUCAAAUGCUUACUUAAAGGAGUUUCACAGUUAUUCUAGAAGUUUAGGUGGAUGGGUUGGUCCUCCAGUUCUAACAAGUAUGGAGCCUGAGGCUAGAGGUUAUCUUGAGCGUAGGGUUUCAAGACCACUUUGUAAAACAGAAAACAGACAUCUCAAAAGGGGAAAAGAGAACAUGAACGUGGACUAGAGUCCUUUUCCAUGUUAAUCUGGUGAAGAAGAGUUAGAAUAACAAAACCAGAUUAUAUUUCAAAAGAGAAGUUGGGGAGCUUUGGUAGUUCACAAAGAUAGCAACUGAACAGUUAAAAAUUGUGGAGAAAAGGUCAGUGCUGCACACACAAGAAGGAAGCCAAGCUGAACACAGCUCCAGCCAUGCGGAGCCAUGGGAGGGGAGGACAGAGCAGGAUUCUAAUAUGAAAGGUAAGGCAGGCAGCCCCAAGACUGGCACUCGUACCCUCAGAGCAAGCCAAUAGCCUUCAGAAGCCUCAAAGUCAGUGUCACAUUGUGACGAUACAGUGAUUUCACUGGCAUAUGGGUUAGCAAUGGAGAGGAAUCCCAUAUUGUCACUCAGUGUGAGCCAGAGAACAGUGGCUGAGUGCCAUCUUCAGAGGAAAUCUAUUGUUUCAAACUGAGCUACUCUGGGGUGGGGGCUUAAAAACGGGAAACACAAGUUAAAAAGGGCUUGAAUUUAAAUUGCCAUAGACACAGAGUGAGACACUCCCCCAGAAGACAGUUAUGGGGGGUGAAGGGUGAAUUCAGAUAAGCUGGGUAAUAAGGUGACAGAAAGCUCAUCUCAGAUGCUGAGAUUCCCAGGGAAAAAUGACUAGGUGUCUGGGAGCCAAGUUCACCAGUUGAGAAUAGCUCUGAAUGGCCAGUGGGCCCAUUAACCUCUGGAAUGCUCUGCUUGUGAUGAGGUUCACUGUUGCAUAGUCUAAAAAUGCUGAAGUUUCUUGGUAUCCAUGAUUGCACCUGUCCAGCAGAGUGGGCAGUGGCUCUCUUUCUUGUGUACUCUUUAAGGUUGUGAUUGCUUCCCUGACUUCUAACACACUUGUGAGAUAUCCCGUAUUCCAAGUCCACAUGGCUCCUGAACUAGUGAAUUGAAAAAAAAAAAAAAGGAAAUAACUAAAAGACUAGAUGAUGCUUUACACACUAGUAAAAAUGAUCACCAACAAGGAUACAAACAGGCAAAUAAGAGCCCAAGGAGAUGGCUUGGUUGAAGUGCCUGGAACAUGGGUGGAGAAUCUGAGUUCAGAUCCCCAGGAUCUGUACAAAAUCAGGGCAUGAUUCCCUUCCUCUAACUAUAGCAGUAGUGAGUUGGAGACAGAAGUAUGCCCAGAGCAAACUGGUUAUCCAUUCAAAAUGAGCUCUGGGAUAAGAGAUCCUCUUUCAAAAGACAAGGCAGAGGAUGAUAUUGGUAUUCCUCAGAUACAUGCACACAUACUGACACAUCUUCAGGCACACAUGAGCUCACACAUACUAUACCCCUACCCAUCACACAAACAUAUACAGACAUUUUCUUUUAAAGCAAGGUAAAUUCAGGGCCAACAAGAUGGCUUAGUGGGUAAGGGUGUCUGUCAAGUUUGAUGACCUGAGUUCAAUACCCAAGACACAUAUGAUGGAAGGAGAGAACUGACUCCUUAAAGUUGUCCUCUGAUCCCUUAAACAUGUGCUCUGGCAUGCACAUGCCCACACCCAUAUGCAAUAAAUGAAUAAAUUUAGGAAAAAGGAUAAUUCAAUUCAGGACACUGAGUUGAAAGUCAGCAACAUCAAAGAAAAA
Mus musculus (house mouse) is the source of this 6477-nucleotide long non-coding RNA. RefSeq annotates it as predicted gene 29478. The record is from RefSeq and is a predicted model, not a curated record. The transcript is spliced from 3 exons. Lineage: Eukaryota; Metazoa; Chordata; Mammalia; Rodentia; Muridae.